RNAcentral lists this ribosomal RNA (452 nucleotides) under Gymnorhamphichthys hypostomus. Its description in RNAcentral is "partial 16S ribosomal RNA". It matches the Rfam family "Bacterial large subunit ribosomal RNA", at positions 1945 to 2553 of the family's 2925-position model. The record is from RNAcentral. Lineage: Eukaryota; Metazoa; Chordata; Actinopteri; Gymnotiformes; Rhamphichthyidae.
ACCGUGCAAAGGUAGCGCAAUCACUUGUUCUUUAAAUAAGGACCUGUAUGAAAGGCAAAACGAGGGCUUUACUGUCUCCCCCCUCAAGUCAGUGAAAUUGAUCUGCCCGUGCAGAAGCGGACAUAAAAAUACAAGACGAGAAGACCCUUUGGAGCUUUAGACACAAGUCAUCUAUGUUAAUAAUGCUGUCCACCAGCCAAAACUAAAUAGAACUGACCCACGUCUUCGGUUGGGGCGACCGCGGGGUAAAACAAAACCCCCACGUGGAAAUGAGGCAAAGUCCUUACAACCAAGAGGCACCCCUCUAAGUCACAGAACUUCUGACCAGCAGAUCCGGCUACCCGCCGAUCAACGGACCAAGUUACCCAAGGGAUAACAGCGCAAUCCUCUUUAAGAGUCCCCAUCGACAAGAGGGUUUACGACCUCGAUGUUGGAUCAGGACAUCCUAAUGG